This 1129-nucleotide long non-coding RNA is filed under the name Mus spicilegus (steppe mouse). RNAcentral describes it as "lncRNA (ENSMSIG00000032224.1)". Lineage: Eukaryota; Metazoa; Chordata; Mammalia; Rodentia; Muridae. The record is from RNAcentral.
AGAAAGAUUAGAAUAACCUAGAAUAUUAGAAAAUACUGUUGUUGCCAUAUGUUGAAGCUAUUUUUUCUUUUCUUCCUAAACAGAAAAUGAAGGGACACCAUUUCAAAACGGGCUGUUCAAAUGAGUCAUGAGAUAUUUAUAGCUCCACAGGGUGUCUCACCAACACUGCACUCUCAUGUGGCAGAACCAGAAAGUGCAGCAGCAGGAGAAUAUUCAACAAAUGGAUAUUGAAGUAUCAUAUGCCGUGUCUGUCACAUGGAUGAAAUCUGAUGAUACUCAACUACGAGGAGAAGUCUAAGCAAACAGCAUCCUGCAGGGAUGAGGCCAAUGAUGGCUAUUCUUCCACCAGUUUCUUCCAUUGCUAUAGAUCAUCCUGGGCUCCAACUAAUUGGGUAACACAUACCACACCCAUCAAUCCCAAGAAGAGUGAAGGCUUUGUGCCCUGUGGUCUUCAAGUGCUUUAACGUCCAUGGCUGGGUCUUCAACUCUGCCUGCCUCCCUCUCUCCUCCUCUCUCCUCUCCCCCUCCCCCUCCCUCUUCUUCUUCCUCUUCCUUCCUCUCCCUCUUCCCUUUCCCUGCAACUACAUAGUGAGAAAGCAAGCAAUUUCAAUGGGAAAAACUACUCCUAGAUGUAGCUACAGCCCAGCCCACCUGAGCUCUCAGCUGGCAGACAUCACCACCACCACCACCACCACCAUCUCAUGAGACUUUGGAAGUUUGUAAAUGAAUGACCAUCCAGGUGUCUGCAGCCCCACUCUCCAAGAGAAGAGUGAAGCUGAAUGGGGUGAGCAAAUGCAUUGUUAUGAAAAACUGCCAAGUCAUGGGCAGUUUGUUACCAGCACCAGAUGACUGCAACAGAGGCUGUACAGCCAGACUCCUGUCUUCAAAACUGGCCUGCAGGUGACCCCAUGUAUAUGAGAACCAGGGAGAGGAUUCGAAGACAAUAGAUCCCCCAUGGGGAGAGUUCAGACUGUAAUAUUUUGACCCUGUGUUUUGUACCUUGCACCUAGUAGGUACUUAAUACAUUUAUAUUUUGAGUGAAACAAAGAAGCCACUUGCAAUGACAAAUGGUACCCAAGUAGUAGAUGUUAGCAAGAAUAAAUCACAGAUAUGGGGUAGAUUGAUGGCA